RNAcentral lists this ribosomal RNA (5783 nucleotides) under Plenodomus lingam JN3. Its description in RNAcentral is "28S_rRNA". The stretch from base 307 to 3655 matches the Rfam family "Eukaryotic large subunit ribosomal RNA". Lineage: Eukaryota; Fungi; Ascomycota; Dothideomycetes; Pleosporales; Leptosphaeriaceae. The record is from RNAcentral.
ACUUUUAAUAACAGAUCUCUUGGUUCUAGCAUUAAUAAAGAACGCAGCGAAAUGCGAUAAGUAGUGUGAAUUGCAGAAUUUAGUAAAUUAUUAAAUCUUUAAACGCAUAUUACGCCCCUUAGUAUUCUAUAGGGCAUGCCUGUUUAAGCGUUAUUUGUACCCUUAAGCUCUGCUUAGUGUUAGGUGUUUGUUCUACUUAGGACUCGCCUUAAAACAAUUAGCAGCUAGCACAUUAGCCUAGAGCGCAGCACAUUUUACGCCUCUUGUUAUAGUUAUUAGCAUCUAUUAAGACACUUUUUAAGCUCUUAACCUUAGAUUAGGUAGGGAUACCUACUAAACUUAAGCAUAUUAAUAAGCAGAGGAAAAGAAACUAAUAGAGAUUGCCCUAGUAACGGCGAGUGAAGCGGCAACAGCUUAAAUUUAAAAUCUAGCUCUUUUAGGGUCCAAGUUAUAAUUUGCAGAGGGCGCUUUAGUAUUAGCAGUAGUCUAAGUUCCUUAGAAUAGGACGUUAUAGAGGGUAAGAAUCCUAUACGUAGUUACUAGCCUUUGCCGUGUAAAGCCCUUUAAUAACCGUCAUAAGUUAUUUAGGAAUAUAGCUCUAAAUAGGAGGUAAAUUUCUUCUAAAGCUAAAUACUAGCUAGAGACUAAUAGCGCACAAGUAGAGUAAUUAAAAGAUAAAAAGCACUUUAGAAAGAGAGUUAAAUAGCACGUGAAAUUGUUAAAAGGGAAGCGCUUGCAGCUAGACUUACCUGUAGUUACUUAUCUAGGCUUUUGUCUAGUGCACUCUUCUAUAGGCAGGCUAGCAUUAGUUUAGGUAGUUAGAUAAAGGUCUCUAUCACGUACCUCCCUUUAGGGAGGCCUUAUAGGGGAGACGACAUGCAACUAGCCUAGACUAAGGUCUGCGCAUCUGCUAGGAUGCUAGCGUAAUAGCUGUAAGCGGCCUAUCUUAAAACAUAGACUAAGGAGUCUAACAUCUAUGCGAGUGUUUAGGUGUUAAGCCUAGACGCGUAAUAAAAGUGAACGGAGGUAGGAACCCUUUUAGGGUGCACUAUUAACUAAUCCUAAUAUCUUUAGAAGGAUUUAAGUAAGAGCAUAGCUAUUAGGACCUAAAAGAUAGUGAACUAUGCUUAAAUAGGGUAAAGCUAGAGGAAACUCUAGUAGAGGCUCGCAGCGGUUCUAACGUGCAAAUUAAUCGUUAAAUUUGGGUAUAGGGGCAAAAGACUAAUUAAACUAUCUAGUAGCUAGUUCCUACUAAAGUUUCCCUUAGGAUAGUAGUAACGUAUUUAGUUUUAUAAGGUAAAGCGAAUAAUUAGAGGCCUAGGGGUUAAAAUAACCUUUACCUAUUCUUAAACUUUAAAUAUGUAAGAAGUCCUUAUUACUUAAUUAAACGUGGACACUUAAAUGUACUGUUACUAGUAGGCUAUUUUUAGUAAGCAGAACUAGCAAUGCGGGAUGAACUAAACGCGGGGUUAAGGUGCUAGAAUGCACGCUUAUUAGACACCACAAAAGGUGUUAGUUUAUCUAGAUAGCAGGAUAGUAGCUAUAGAAGUUAGAAUCUACUAAGGAGUGUGUAAUAACUUACCUGCUAAAUAAACUAGCCCUAAAAAUAGAUAGCGCUUAAGCGUGUUACCUAUACCCUGCCGCUAGGGCAAGAUUUAAGCCCUAGUAAGUAGGCAGGCGUAGAGGCUCGUGACGAAGCCUUAGGGGUAACCCUAGGUAGAACGGCCUCUAGUGCAGAUCUUAGUGGUAGUAGCAAAUACUUAAAUAAGAACUUUAAGGACUAAAGUAGGGAAAGGUUCCGUGUGAAUAGCAGUUAGACACAGGUUAGUUAAUCCUAAGAGAUAGGGUAAUUCUGUUUUAAUGUUAGUGCUUACGCCACGCCCUUAAAAGGGAAGCUAGUUAAUAUUCUAGCACCUAGAUGUAGAUUCUCCGCGGCAACGCAACUAAGAGCGGAGACCUUAGCAGGAGCCCUAAGAAGAGUUCUCUUUUCUUAACAGUCUGUUACCCUAAAAUUAGUUUGUCUAGAGCUAGGGUUUAAUAGCUAGAAGAGCGCUACACUUUUAUAGCGUUUAGUGCGCUCCUAACAAGCCUUAAAAAUCUACUUAAAGAAAUAGUUUUUACGCUAGGUUAUACUUAUAACCGUAGCAGGUCUCUAAGGUAAAAAGCCUCUAGUUAAUAGAAUAAUAUAGAUAAGGGAAGUUAGCAAAAUAGAUCUAUAACUUUAGGAAAAGGAUUAGCUCUAAGGGUUAGGUACGUUAGGCCUUAGGGAGAAGCCUCUAGCGCAGAAGGGCACUAACCGCAAGGUAGGCGCCUCUUAGCGCUAGGGUGCAGACACCCUUAGCAGGUUUCAGCUAUCUAGCGUACGUUUAACAACUAACUUAGAACUAGUAUAGAUAAGGGGAAUCUAACUAUCUAAUUAAAACAUAGCAUUGCAAUAGCUAGAAAGUAGUAUUAACGCAAUAUAAUUUCUGCCUAGUGCUCUAAAUAUUAAAGCAAAGAGAUUUAACCAAGCGCGGGUAAAUAGCAGGAGUAACUAUAACUCUCUUAAGGUAGCUAAAUACCUUGUUAUCUAAUUAGUGACGCGCAUAAAUAGAUUAACAAGAUUCCUACUGUCCCUAUUUACUAUCUAGCGAAACCACAGCUAAGGGAACAGGCUUAGCUAAAUUAGCAGGGAAAGAAGACCCUAUUAAGCUUAACUCUAGUUUAAUAUUGUAAAAAGAUAUAGGGGGUGUAGAAUAGGUAGGAGCUUUAGCGCUAGUAAAAUACUACUACCCUUAUUGUUUUUUUACUUAUUUAAUAAAGCAGAGCUAGGCCUUACUACCUAACUUCUAGCGUUUAAGGUCCUUUAUAGGCUAAUCUAGGUUAAAGAUAUUAUUAGGUAGGGAGUUUAGCUAGGGCGGCACAUCUAUUAAACUAUAACGCAGGUGUCCUAAGGGGGACUUAUAGAGAAUAGAAAUCUCUAGUAGAGUAAAAGGGCAAAAGUCCCCUUAAUUUUAAUUUUUAGUGUGAAUACAAACUAUAAAAGUGUGGCCUAUUAAUCCUUUAGUCCCUUAAAAUUUAAGGCUAGAGGUGCUAGAAAAGUUACUACAGGGAUAACUAGCUUGUGGCAGCCAAGCAUUUAUAGCGACGUUGCUUUUUAAUCCUUUAAUGUUAGCUCUUCCUAUUAUACUAAAGUAGAAUUUAGUAAGCGUUAGAUUGUUCACCUACUAAUAGGGAACGUAAGCUAGGUUUAGACCGUUGUAAGAUAGGUUAGUUUUACCCUACUAAUAACCUUGCCCUAAUAGUAAUACCGCUUAGUACGAGAGGAACCGCGGUUUUAGAUAAUUAGUUUUUGCGGCUAUCUAACUAGGCAUUGCCGCGAAGCUACUAUCUACUAGAUUAUAGCUAAACGCCUCUAAGUCAGAAUCUAUGCUAGAAUAGGGUGAUUUCUGCCUGCACUAGUUAGAUAUAAAUAGGCCUUUAGCCCAGAACCUUACUAGAUUAGCGUUAGCAGCCCUAUUAAAGUUAGGGUUAUUAGCUAGUGUAUUGUAAUUGUACAGUGCGCAGGAUUAAAUCCUUUAUAGAUAACUUAGUUGUCUAGCUAGGUCGUGUAAGUAGUUAAGUAGCCUUGUUGUUACGAGCUACUAAGCGUAAGCCCGUUGCUAGCUUGGUUAAAAUUGGGAUAUUAUGCCCUCCUUAUUUGCAAAACUGCUGCCUAAAUAGCUGCUAUUAACAGAAGGAAGAGGGCUAUAGCAAAUAAGUUAUAUAGUAAUUGCAAGAUAGAGAGGGCUAGAGCUAGGAGCAAUCCUCGCAAAAUAUACAAAAGAACAGGUUAUGUGUGUACGUACCUUAGGCAGUUAAUAUAUAGUAUAGGAAGAUUAAGAAAGGAUUUAAGAUAAUCUAUACAGAUUUUUAGGCGGUAAUCUAUAACUUAAGAGCGUUCUAUAACUUUUUAUUUUUUAGGGGUCCAGUGUUGCGUAUAACUCUAGGGCGUUCUAUAACUUUAGGGCGUUCUAUAACUUUAGGGCGUUCUAUAACUUUUUAUUUUUUAGGGGUAGUGUUCUAUAACUUUAGGGCGUUCUAUAACUUUAGGGCGUUCUAUAACUUUAGGGCGUUCUACAACUUUUUAUUUUUUAGGGGUAGUGUUCUAUAACUUUAGGGCGUUCUAUAACUUUAGGGCGUUCUAUAACUUUAGGGCGUUCUACAACUUUUUAUUUUUUUGAGGUAGUGUUCUAUAACUUUUGAGCGUUCUAUAACUUUUUCUUUUUUAGAGGUAGUGUUCUAUAACUUUAGGGCGUUCUACAACUUUUUAUUUUUAGGGGUAGCGUUCUAUAACUUUAGGGCGUUCUAUAACUUUAGGGCCUUCUAUAAGCUUAGGGCGUUCUAUAACUUUAGGGCGUUCUAUAACUUUAGGGCGUUCUAUAACUUUUUAUUUUUUAGGGUUAGUGUUCUAUAACUUUAGCGCGUUCUAUACCUUUUAUUUAUUCUAUUACUUUAGUCCUUUCUAUAACUUUAGACUAUUCUAUACUAGUAGCUAUUAUAUCCUUUUUAUAAUACUUAUUAUAUCAUACUAUUAUCUAUUAUUCUUUACUGUUAAGUAUAUCCUUAUAUUUUAUAAAACCUUUUCUCUACUAGCUAGUCCUACUAUACUUUCUUUUAUAACCUACUAGUAUUAAAUAAUACCUUUAUAUUCUUCUUUUAUACUAUCUCUAUUUCUUGCCUUAUCUAUUAAGUAGAUAUAGAUAGAGCUAAUAGAUCUAUAGUUAAUAUAGAUAUAGUAGUUAUAGUAGAGUACAGAUAUUAGAGUAGAUAUCCUUAUCUAUAUAUUUACCUACUACUAAUAAAAUUCCAAGUUACUCUUAUCCAGCGAAUACGGGUUUAUGGUUUGUAUAGGGCUACGCAUGUCUACACAGUUUUACAUACAAAAAAGUGUACCUCUAAGCUAUUUUCCACUACACUAACCCCGCAACGCAAAAAUCAAACCAAAACCUAUUCCUAUAAUAUAUAAGGAGGGCAAAUGGAUUCUUAAAUACUAAAUACCUAACUAACUAACUAAGGUUAAAUCUGCUGCGCGCAGUUCUUGGAUUAGGCGGUUAAACUAGCGUCGUUAGGCACUAAGGGGGCAAUUUUUGCUUGUGUCCGCGUUUAUACUCCCUAUAACUCCCUAUUAUUAGCGCUCUACGCCUGUUUUAGUGGCAGUUAGACUAAAUUUAAAAGUUUUGGUUUUAUAAUAGCUAGCCUUGUUAUCCUAGAUUUCUGCCUAGUUUAGAUUCGCUCUAAUUAGUAGGUAAUUAGGGGCUUAGAGAUUGCUCUUCUACUUAACUAGGCAGGCCUAGGCCUAUAUACUAAAGCAACCCUGCUAUUACGCCUAGUUUUGUAGUUAGCACCUAAAGUCCUACUGUUAAAGUUUUAGCAGUAGGCAAAAUUUAGGGUCUAUAGAUAGCUAGCACUGCUAAACUAUUUAACAGAUCUUAGGGGACAGCCCUGCCUAGCAUCCGCUCCUAGUAAGCGUAGCAAAGCGUAGGUUUUCUCCACUUAAGGCAUGUAUAUGGCGAGUUUAAACACGCAGAAACGCCUAUUAGGCUUUGUUACAGACUAUUCCUUAAGAAACUUAGUAGGGGCAAUUAAAUUAGUUGCUAGUUAUAACUAGUGCCUUGUGUGCUGUUAUACUAGUAGCUAGAAUCGCUUCUGCGAUUUCUUAUCACGUACUUUCUACCUCCUUUUAGGGGUAGUGCUUGUGCGCUUCGGCGUAUUAGGCAUCAGGAUUAUUACCUAGUUAAUUCUACUAGUAGUUAUAUGCUUGU